UUAGAGUUUGAUCCUGGCUCAGGAUGAACGCUAGCGAGAGGCCUAACACAUGCAAGUCGAGGGGUAACAGGGGAGCUUGCUCCCGCUGACGACCGGCGCACGGGUGAGUAACGCGUAUGCAACCUGCCCGCUACAGGGGGAUAGCCUUCCGAAAGGGAGAUUAACACCGCAUAACACCGCGACGGGGCAUCCUGAUGCGGUUAAAUAUUCAUAGGUAGCGGCUGGGCAUGCGUGACAUUAGCUAGUUGGCGGGGCAACGGCCCACCAAGGCGACGAUGUCUAGGGGAACUGAGAGGUCGAUCCCCCACACUGGUACUGAGACACGGACCAGACUCCUACGGGAGGCAGCAGUGAGGAAUAUUGGUCAAUGGACGGAAGUCUGAACCAGCCAUGCCGCGUGGAGGAGGACGGCCCUAUGGGUUGUAAACUCCUUUUGCCGGAGAGUAAUAAGGGUCCUGCGGGGUCCGAUGAGAGUAUCUGGCGAAUAAGCAUCGGCUAACUCCGUGCCAGCAGCCGCGGUAAUACGGAGGAUGCAAGCGUUAUCCGGAUUUAUUGGGUUUAAAGGGUGCGUAGGCGGACGCGUAAGUCAGCGGUGAAAUAUCCCGGCCCAACCGGGAGGCUGCCGUUGAUACUGCGCGACUGGAGUCCAAACGGCGCCGGCGGAAUAUGCAAUGUAGCGGUGAAAUGCUUAGAUAUUGCAUAGAACACCGAUCGCGAAGGCAGCUGGCGAGGAUGGCACUGACGCUGAGGCACGAAGGCGUGGGGAUCAAACAGGAUUAGAUACCCUGGUAGUCCACGCAGUAAACGAUGACAACUUGUUGUCGGCGAUAGACAGUCGGUGACAAAGCGAAAGCGAUAAGUUGUCCACCUGGGGAGUACGAUCGCAAGGUUGAAACUCAAAGGAAUUGACGGGGGCCCGCACAAGCGGAGGAGGAUGUGGUUUAAUUCGAUGAUACGCGAGGAACCUUACCCAGACUCAAAUGGGAGCCGACCGGUGCAGAGAUGCGCCCUUCCUUCGGGACGGCUUUCAAGGUGCUGCAUGGUUGUCGUCAGCUCGUGCCGUGAGGUGUCAGGUUAAGUCCUAUAACGAGCGCAACCCCUACGUCCAGUUGCCAGCGGGUGAAGCCGGGGACUCUGGAGGGACUGCCGGCGCAAGCCGAGAGGAAGGUGGGGAUGACGUCAAAUCAGCACGGCCCUUACGUCUGGGGCGACACACGUGCUACAAUGGCCGGUACAGAGGGCAGCUACGCCGCGAGGCGAUGCGAAUCUCGAAAGCCGGUCUCAGUUCGGAUCGGAGUCUGCAACCCGACUCCGUGAAGUUGGAUUCGCUAGUAAUCGCGCAUCAGCCAUGGCGCGGUGAAUACGUUCCCGGGCCUUGCACUCACCGCCCGUCA
Molecule: ribosomal RNA, 1394 nt
Filed under: uncultured bacterium
Lineage: Bacteria
Description: 16S ribosomal RNA
Rfam family: Bacterial small subunit ribosomal RNA
Source: RNAcentral